GGUCUGAAAGAGGUUGGGGGUCUAGCAGAUGUAGAAGGGGGAGUUUGAAUGGGAGGAAUGAUGGGAAUUGCUUGCUUUUGAUUCCUUUGAAUAGUUUUUAUCUUAAUUUCAAUGACUACAACUCUCUAAACCAAAUUACUAAUAAGUUGAUGUGUAUUUGCCAUUCAACAAUAUCCAAGUUAGGAAUUAGCCUAUAGAUAGUAG
This 204-nucleotide long non-coding RNA is filed under the name Elaeis guineensis (African oil palm). RNAcentral's name for it is "long non-coding RNA (EGUI_LNC058106)". The record is from RNAcentral. Lineage: Eukaryota; Viridiplantae; Streptophyta; Magnoliopsida; Arecales; Arecaceae.